UAGCACUGGGCAGCAAGCAUUUUCAACGGGGUUUCCUAGCCCUAUGUGCACCAAACCUCCAAGAACAUCCACACAAAGCCCUAGCUUAAGUGCAUUGAUUGGACAAGUGGGUUGAGUAGUAGGUGGAGGGUUAAGUCCCGGAACAUUGCCGCCUCCUCCGCCACCACCUCCGCCGCCGCCUCCGCCCCCGCCAGGCGGUGUGUAAGGUGGAUAAGUAGAAGGUGGUGGAAUUGUUACCGGAGGGUUUGUGACAGGAGGAGUAAUUACCGGAGGAUGUGUAAUUGGAGGGACUGUGACUGGUGGUGGAGGAAAAAUGAUUGGAGGGGCAA
This 329-nucleotide long non-coding RNA is filed under the name Citrus sinensis (sweet orange). RNAcentral's name for it is "long non-coding RNA (CSIN_LNC001953)". The record is from RNAcentral. Lineage: Eukaryota; Viridiplantae; Streptophyta; Magnoliopsida; Sapindales; Rutaceae.